GAGUUUGAUCAUGGCUCAGAUUGAACGCUGGCGGCAGGCCUAACACAUGCAAGUCGAGCGGUAGAGAGAAGCUUGCUUCUCUUGAGAGCGGCGGACGGGUGAGUAAUGCCUAGGAAUCUGCCUGGUAGUGGGGGAUAACGCUCGGAAACGGACGCUAAUACCGCAUACGUCCUACGGGAGAAAGCAGGGGACCUUCGGGCCUUGCGCUAUCAGAUGAGCCUAGGUCGGAUUAGCUAGUUGGUGAGGUAAUGGCUCACCAAGGCGACGAUCCGUAACUGGUCUGAGAGGAUGAUCAGUCACACUGGAACUGAGACACGGUCCAGACUCCUACGGGAGGCAGCAGCGGGGAAUAUUGGACAAUGGGCGAAAGCCUGAUCCAGCCAUGCCGCGUGUGUGAAGAAGGUCUUCGGAUUGUAAAGCACUUUAAGUUGGGAGGAAGGGCAGUAAAUUAAUACUUUGCUGUUUUGACGUUACCGACAGAAUAAGCACCGGCUAACUCUGUGCCAGC
Molecule: ribosomal RNA, 508 nt
Filed under: uncultured bacterium
Lineage: Bacteria
Description: bacterial SSU rRNA
Rfam family: Bacterial small subunit ribosomal RNA
Source: RNAcentral